CAAAAGGCAAACUAUAGGUUGCCAUGCCAACGUUUGACUGUUCAUCUUAUAUAAAAUUUUUUUAUAAUUAGUAUUUUUAUUGUUGUUAGAUGAUAAAACAUGAUUAAUACUUUAUGCGUGACUUAUCUUUUUAAUUUUUUUUAUAAUGUUUUUAAAUAAGAUGGACGGUCAAAUGUUAGACACGAAAAUUAGGGUUUGCCUUUUUU
This is a non-coding RNA of Oryza nivara, 206 nucleotides long. Lineage: Eukaryota; Viridiplantae; Streptophyta; Magnoliopsida; Poales; Poaceae. The record is from Rfam.